Molecule: ribosomal RNA, 1439 nt
Filed under: uncultured organism
Description: SSU rRNA
Rfam family: Bacterial small subunit ribosomal RNA
Source: RNAcentral
AGGAUGAACGCUAGCUACAGGCUUAACACAUGCAAGUCGAGGGGCAGCAUGGUCUUAGCUUGCUAAGACUGAUGGCGACCGGCGCACGGGUGAGUAACACGUAUCCAACCUGCCGUCUACUCUUGGACAGCCUUCUGAAAGGAAGAUUAAUACAAGAUGGCAUCAUGAGUCCACAUGUUCACAUGAUUAAAGGUAUUCCGGUAGACGAUGGGGAUGCGUUCCAUUAGAUAGUAGGCGGGGUAACGGCCCACCUAGUCUUCGAUGGAUAGGGGUUCUGAGAGGAAGGUCCCCCACAUUGGAACUGAGACACGGUCCAAACUCCUACGGGAGGCAGCAGUGAGGAAUAUUGGUCAAUGGGCGAGAGCCUGAACCAGCCAAGUAGCGUGAAGGAUGACUGCCCUAUGGGUUGUAAACUUCUUUUAUAAAGGAAUAAAGUCGGGUAUGCAUACCCGUUUGCAUGUACUUUAUGAAUAAGGAUCGGCUAACUCCGUGCCAGCAGCCGCGGUAAUACGGAGGAUCCGAGCGUUAUCCGGAUUUAUUGGGUUUAAAGGGAGCGUAGAUGGAUGUUUAAGUCAGUUGUGAAAGUUUGCGGCUCAACCGUAAAAUUGCAGUUGAUACUGGAUAUCUUGAGUGCAGUUGAGGCAGGCGGAAUUCGUGGUGUAGCGGUGAAAUGCUUAGAUAUCACGAAGAACUCCGAUUGCGAAGGCAGCCUGCUAAGCUGCAACUGACAUUGAGGCUCGAAAGUGUGGGUAUCAAACAGGAUUAGAUACCCUGGUAGUCCACACGGUAAACGAUGAAUACUCGCUGUUUGCGAUAUACAGCAAGCGGCCAAGCGAAAGCGUUAAGUAUUCCACCUGGGGAGUACGCCGGCAACGGUGAAACUCAAAGGAAUUGACGGGGGCCCGCACAAGCGGAGGAACAUGUGGUUUAAUUCGAUGAUACGCGAGGAACCUUACCCGGGCUUAAAUUGCAGAUGAAUUACGGUGAAAGCCGUAAGCCGCAAGGCAUCUGUGAAGGUGCUGCAUGGUUGUCGUCAGCUCGUGCCGUGAGGUGUCGGCUUAAGUGCCAUAACGAGCGCAACCCUUGUUGUCAGUUACUAACAGGUCCUGCUGAGGACUCUGACAAGACUGCCAUCGUAAGAUGUGAGGAAGGUGGGGAUGACGUCAAAUCAGCACGGCCCUUACGUCCGGGGCUACACACGUGUUACAAUGGGGGGUACAGAGGGCCGCUACCACGCGAGUGGAUGCCAAUCCCCAAAACCUCUCUCAGUUCGGACUGGAGUCUGCAACCCGACUCCACGAAGCUGGAUUCGCUAGUAAUCGCGCAUCAGCCACGGCGCGGUGAAUACGUUCCCGGGCCUUGUACACACCGCCCGUCAAGCCAUGGGAGCCGGGGGUACCUGAAGUGCGUAACCGCGAGGAGCGCCCUAGGGUAAAACU